AACUUUUAGCAACGGAUCUCUUGGUUCUGGCAUCGAUGAAGAACGCAGCGAAAUGCGAUAAGUAAUGUGAAUUGCAGAUUUCAGUGAAUCAUCGAAUCUUUGAACGCACAUUGCGCCCGCCAGUAUUCUGGCGGGCAUGCCUGUUCGAGCGUCAUUUCAACCCUCGAGCCCCUACGGGGGCUUGGUGUUGGGGAGCGGCCCCGCCCCUCUGCGGGCUGCCGUCCUCGAAAUACAGUGGCGGUCUCGCCGCAGCCUCCUCUGCGUAGUAGCUUGAAACCUCGCACCGGAGUGCGGCGUGGCCACGCCGUUAAGCCUUAGCUUCCUCAAAGGUUGACCUCGGAUCAGGUAGGGAUACCCGCUGAACUUAAGCAUAUCAAUAAGCGGAGGCU
RNAcentral lists this unclassified non-coding RNA (389 nucleotides) under uncultured Hypocreales. Its description in RNAcentral is "sequence contains ITS2". The stretch from base 1 to 154 matches the Rfam family "5.8S ribosomal RNA". Lineage: Eukaryota; Fungi; Ascomycota; Sordariomycetes; Hypocreales. The record is from RNAcentral.